Molecule: long non-coding RNA, 678 nt
Organism: Drosophila subpulchrella
Lineage: Eukaryota; Metazoa; Arthropoda; Insecta; Diptera; Drosophilidae
Exons: 3
Source: RefSeq, a predicted model, not a curated record
GCCCUUCAAAGUCAGAUGAUUGAUUGAAUGCGUGCGAAACUAAAAAGCGCGGGAAAGAUUUUGUUUACUUUCGAGCGUGCAAAAAUUGUUGUGGUUCAAGCAAUUUUCACUAAAAUUAUGGAAAAGAAAGACAAAGGGUUUAUUGGUGUUGUAAAAAGGAAGAAAAAUGCUAACCUGCUAGCCGGUCUGUUGUGGAUUAUAACAAAUUUUGUGCCGACUUGUACCAAAAACUAACUAUGUGUCAUUAAAGUGCAAAGUGUAUAUAAACUAUUUUUUGGAGUCUUCAUGGAAAAUGUAUAUACCCUCACCAAAAUUUAAGCCAAGAUAUGAAGCAUUAAAAUAUGGCAUAAGUCCUCUACAUGGUUGGACUCGAUUUUUUGAAAUCGCUCUUAAAAUUGCAUACAGACUGAAACUUAAAAAAUGGCAAGUGAGAGAUGAAAAUGGAAAAAAAGAAAUGGCGAAACAAAAAAGAUGAUUUAAAAGCAGAUGUGGAAUGCUAUCGCAUUACAUGAUGAUAAGCCUAAGCAGAAUGACAAUGGAAAUACCAACGACGGCAAUACAGCAAGGUGGGCGUUUGCACAACCUGAGCUACUAGCUGAAAUCUUAGAUCUUGAUGAAUUUCUCAUUGCAUAUCUUAACAAUAUUUUAAUUGCUAUUUCCCGCCACCUACCAAAUGAU